UGUCUCUUUAAAUAGGCUUGCCCAAGG
RNAcentral lists this non-coding RNA (27 nucleotides) under Rattus norvegicus (Norway rat). The record is from RNAcentral. Lineage: Eukaryota; Metazoa; Chordata; Mammalia; Rodentia; Muridae.